AAUAGAUACCCCGGUAGUCCACGCCGUAAACGAUGAGUGCUAAGUGUUAGGGGGUUUCCGCCCCUUAGUGCUGCAGCUAACGCAUUAAGCACUCCGCCUGGGGAGUACGGUCGCAAGACUGAAACUCAAAGGAAUUGACGGGGGCCCGCACAAGCGGUGGAGCAUGUGGUUUAAUUCGAAGCAACGCGAAGAACCUUACCAGGUCUUGACAUCCCACUGACCGCUAUGGAGACAUAGUUUUCCCUUCGGGGACAGUGGUGACAGGUGGUGCAUGGUUGUCGUCAGCUCGUGUCGUGAGAUGUUGGGUUAAGUCCCGCAACGAGCGCAACCCUUGAUCUUAGUUGCCAUCAUUUAGUUGGGCACUCUAAGGUGACUGCCGGUGACAAACCGGAGGAAGGUGGGGAUGACGUCAAAUCAUCAUGCCCCUUAUGACCUGGGCUACACACGUGCUACAAUGGACGGUACAAACGGUUGCCAACCCGGCGAGGGGGAGCUAAUCCGAUAAAACUGUUCUCAGUUCGGAUUGUAGGCUGCAACUCGCCUAC
Molecule: ribosomal RNA, 545 nt
Filed under: uncultured bacterium
Lineage: Bacteria
Description: bacterial SSU rRNA
Rfam family: Bacterial small subunit ribosomal RNA
Source: RNAcentral